UACGGAGGGUGCAAGCGUUACUCGGAAUUACUAGGCGUAAAGGGCAGGUAGGUGGUUCGGUAAGUCUGUUGUGAAAUCUCCCGGCUUAACUGGGAGAGGUCAACAGAAACUGCCGGGCUUGAGUAUAGGAGAGGGUACUGGAAUUCCCGGUGUAGCGGUGAAAUGCGCAGAGAUCGGGAGGAACACCAAUGGCGAAAGCAGGUACCUGGACUAUUACUGACACUCAGCUGCGAAAGCUAGGGGAGCAAACAGG
This 253-nucleotide ribosomal RNA is filed under the name uncultured bacterium. Its description in RNAcentral is "partial 16S ribosomal RNA". It matches the Rfam family "Bacterial small subunit ribosomal RNA", at positions 524 to 776 of the family's 1533-position model. The record is from RNAcentral.